Dermochelys coriacea (leatherback sea turtle) is the source of this 4591-nucleotide RNA transcript. It is a transcript of the gene named DnaJ heat shock protein family (Hsp40) member B12, with no coding region annotated. The transcript is spliced from 9 exons. The record is from RefSeq and is a predicted model, not a curated record. NCBI's taxonomy places the organism in Eukaryota, Metazoa, Chordata, Testudines, Dermochelyidae.
CUCUUAGAACUGCCGGCAGGGGGCCGCUGCGCGCACUCGGUGGGUGACGCCAUCGCCGCGCGCCGGCCCCUCCUUCCGUCUCGGCCACUGCCGCCGUCAUGGAGUCCAACAGGGACGAGGCGGAGCGCUGUAUUGCCAUCGCCGUGGCCGCCAUCAAGGCCAGCCAGCCCGACAAGGCGCUCCGCUUCCUGGAGAAGGCCCAGCGCCUCUACCCCUCCCAGCGAGUCCGCGUGCUGAUCGAAUCCCUCACCAAGAAUGAACAAUCAGCCAAUGGCCAGUCCAAAUCCAGGGAGUCCACAAAUGCCCACUUUAGGAAAAUGAGUGGAGACUUCCCAUCAGCCAAUGGGGAGGCAGGUGGGGAGACUAGCAAAGGUUACACCCAAGAUCAGGUGGAUGCAGUUAAGAGGGUAAAGCAGUGUAAAGAUUACUAUGAAAUUCUAGGAGUGAACAGAGAGGCCUCUGACGAAGACCUGAAAAAGGCUUACCGGAAACUAGCACUGAAAUUUCACCCAGAUAAGAACCACGCGCCAGGUGCAACAGAAGCAUUCAAAGCCAUUGGUAAUGCAUAUGCAGUAUUGAGCAACCCAGAGAAGCGGAAGCAAUAUGACCAAUUUGGAGAUGAGAAAGUCAACCCUUCAAGACAUGGACACAGUCAUACAGACUUCCACCGUGGAUUCGAAGCAGACAUCUCACCUGAGGAUCUCUUCAACAUGUUCUUUGGUGGUGGAUUUCCUUCUAGUAACGUUCACGUAUACAGCAAUGGCAGGAUGCGAUAUACCUACCAUCAGAGGCAUGACAGACGAGAACAUCAGGGUGAUGGUGGCCUUGGGUUGUUUGUCCAGCUGAUGCCUAUUCUCAUCCUGAUCAUUGUUUCAGCUCUCAGCCAGAUGAUGGUCUCCAGUCCACCUUACAGUUUGAGCCACAGGCCGUCUGUGGGUCACAUACACAGGAGAGUGACGGAGCACUUGAAAGUAGCUUACUAUGUAGCUGAGAACUUUGCAGAAGAGUACACUGGUAUAAACCUGAAAAAUGUUGAGAGGAGCGUGGAAGACGAUUACAUUGCAAACCUUAGAAAUAACUGCUGGAAGGAAAAGCAACAAAAGGAAGGCUUGCUUUAUCGAGCACGUUACUUUGGAGAUUCAGAUCUGUAUCAAAGAGCACAGAGGAUGGGCACCCCAAGCUGUAGCAGACUGUCUGAAGUUCAAGCCUCUAUGCAUGGAUAGUCACUACUAGACCACUCAGCGGACGUCUAAGUACGAGCUGGUGAUUUUCCUGUGACACUGAAGCAUGACACAUCAAUGAUUUUCAUACUUAUUUAAAUGACUAAUUGAGAUCUAGAUCUUCAUGUGUCUCUCCUCUCAAUGUGCAUGUGUAACAAGGAGAAAGCAUAACCUUCUAUCAAGCAUAUACACCUUCACUGGGAUGGUUGGUUUAAUUUGCAUGCCAGUACCUCAAAUGCUCUUCCAGUUCACAUCUGUUUCUUAGCAUUGCUGGUGUCAGCUCUCUGAGAGCAAAAUGAAAGGCCUGGCUAUGUUUGCGAGUCAGCUGAGUUCUUGUCAAGAAUCCAUUUGAGACAAUGUCACUUUUUGCUUUGGCUGGUCAGAAGUUGUUCCCCUUAUCAAGCAUUUAUCAGAUUGGGCAACUGGCAGUCACAUUUCUAUUUCCAGUUUUUGUUGCUCUAUUCCCUAUUUUAUUGUACCAUGGUACUUGAAGAAAUACGAUAACAGGGAAGAGAUUUCUGUAAGAUAGAUGUUUCUUGUCCCUCUGUCGUCUUCCCUAGACACUCAGUCAAACCAAACCAAACUCUCACUCUAUGCAGCAGGUUGUAAAGGUAACUCACUUCAUUGAAUUGGGAGUCAGGGAGAAGCCAGCAGAGAGUGCUGGAGACUCGUGGUGUCUUCGCAGCACAAUAGCAUGGUAAACCUGAUGAACCAGAGUGGUAUGGUGGCAGUUCAAAUGGCAUAAAUGACAGUAGCACUAGAUUACUCACAGGAGCACUGUGUGCAAAUAAAUUAAAAUUUGGCCCAGGGUGUGGAGUGUCUUUCCUCGGUCAUUAUUAGGUCUGAUAUUUUGCAAAGGCAGGAGGCUUCACCCAUCAGCAACUAACAGGAUGAAUGUAAAACACACAGGCUUUCCCCAUCUCUCACAAAUUUAAUUAAAAGCAGGGGCUUGUUAGUGGGGAACAAAAUUACACUUAGCACCAUAUUUUCAGAUACACCACACCCAUAACACCUUAGUUAUCUUGUAUGUCAGACAUCUGGUCACCUAAGUUGUGUACCCAAGUAAGUUAGGAGGGCUAGGGUUGGGUUUUUUGUUUUGUUUUUCGGCAGGUGGCGCACAUUUGAAAAUUUGGUCCUUAAAGUCAGUUGAGCGCUCAGGUGUCUGCCAUUUUUGAGUGUGUCUUGCAUUUGGGAUUUUUCUUUUUUUGAUAUGCCCUGUACCUUGUUUUGAUAACUGUUCCUCUUAUUAAAUGGAAAUAUUUUAAUUAACUUUGUCACUCUCUCUCUAACUCAGCAUAUCUCUGUGUAUCCAUGGUCUAAUGAAGAGUGUAGCUGUAAAAUAAAGAACUACUUUAGCAUUUUUCAGUUAGACAUGUUACCUGUAAUUUGGGGAGGUGGGUGGGGAAGGUAUUUUCUGUUAAAUGGUUAUCAUGGAUUGGAGACUGACACAGUUACCACUUUUAUUCCCAGACUCUUGAAAUGCCUGAAGACUUUUGGCGAAGUGCACUGAGCCAAGAUGCAGUAGGCAGCAGUUAGGAAAUAAAGCUGCCUGUCUUCUCCCCUUCUUUCCAACACCACUAGAGUGCGACAGUCUAGUCUCUCCUAGGAUACAACAACCAUGAGAACAAGUGUAGAAUAUAAAAAACAAACUGCAGCAAGCCAUGAAGCAGAAGGAGACCCUUCCAUGAUUGCACUGGUCACUUCGAACGGAGAGAGAAAUUGGAAGAUUUUUUUAGGACUAAAAAGAAAAGAAUAUCUAUUUAGAAUUAAUUUAUAGCUGUAUGUAUGUUGUACUUUUAAACUAUGCAGGGAUUGGAUUAAAUUAUUUAGUUUUCUGCCCAAUUUAGUAAACUGUAAAGUGUGAAUUCUAACCUGUUUUGGGGGGCUAUCCAGCCCUGCAGAACUAUCCAAUUUCAGGUUGUCAUUUGAUGACACUUUACAUUUAUUUUAUUUUUUUUUAUGUUGUUGAGAAAAAUAUAGACUGAGUUUUUUUUAUAAAAGAAUCUCAAAAUCUGUAGAAAGAAGAUUUCUUAAAAUUGACCAGACUUCUGAUUUGUUUUCGCUAUAUUAAUUUAAUUGGUGGCAGUCAACUGAGUGCUGGAUUCUUGUACAGCAAGGAGAGGAUUAUCGUAAAUGAUCUUAGCUCAUCAGUGUUCAGUUUGGUUUGUGUGUGUGUGUGUAACUUUUUUUUCCAGAGUCUGCUUUAUUUCUGCCUUGUAAUCAGUGUGCAGCAUUAGUUCUGUAAACAGGGCCUGCCACGAGCUAUAUCCUUUUGUUCUUCUUGUUCCUAAACUCAGAGUUCCUCAUCCAGCAGAUUGCUAACUGUAUUAUGGCCAUAACACUUGCACAUAACCUUGCCAUAACACUUCCGAUGUUUCAAUGUGUAUUGACAUCCCAAAAAAACAGAGUCUUUGAUUCUUGUUUAAGAAGUUUUGGUGGGGAGAUCAGAAAGGGGGAUGAUUAAUUUUCAGUUGCUUAAUUGGGCUUUGACGCAUGUGACUCUAGAUCACACUACAUUUUACCCAUUUUACAGGAAUGGUUUUUCCCAUCAUUCAUUUUAGAAGAAGAAAUUAUGCUGCUAAAAGCCUUGGGUUUACUUGCUUGAGCAAGCAGGACCUGGAUUAGAGCAACAGGAUAGCACUCAAGGUUAUUCUAAAUCCAGUGUAUCUCUUUGACACAUGAAGUGAGAGAGGUAAAAGUUGAAUGAGCUAAGUUACCAUUAAUGGCAUAAACUGGAUUCUUUUCUAACCUGAUGUUAAUUUUUGCCUAAAGACAUUUCCUAUAAGAACAGUUUUCAGAGUUCCCUUAUGGUGGAAUUUAUCAAAAUAGCAAUGGCUGCCAAGUAAGGUGGUAAAGGGCUGGGAGAAAAGUGAAAGGCCAGAUGGGUUUAUUUCUAUUUGUUGUUUGAAAUUGACCAGCUCUGUUUUUUAACUGGAUAUUUAUGUAGCAAAAUGGUUCUGAGCCCUCCUGUUCAUUGCAAGCCUUACUAUCCACGACUGUGAUGUAUCUGAUCUGAUUUCAAGUUUUAAAAGAUAUCCCCCAGGUUUUUGGAGGGGGUAUAGUGGAAAUAAAAUAUUUUGGAAUAAAUGUGUUUACAGAGGCACAAGAGCUACCCAGCAUUAAGAGAUGUUGGAGGGGAAAUGUGAGAGACAACUCAUGUUUGCAAAAGGUGCUGACAUCUUGCAAAAUGGCACGCCUGCUCCAGUGCCCAUCCAACCAAAUCUUUUGAUUUCUCAAGUAGAUAUCCAUGGAUGGUAAGCGCUAUGUGCAAUAAAGCAUAGAUCCUAAAGGAUACUCACAGAAUCUGUAUUUCUUGAUUUAGAAUUAAUUAUACAAUUGUACAUCUAUGAAUAAAUGUUUAUUAUGUGAGA